UAUAUUUAAGUAUAAGAUGUACGAAAGUUUUUGAUACUUUAGGAAACAGUUUAAGUCUGUUAAAUAUAU
This 69-nucleotide transfer RNA is filed under the name Curculionoidea sp. 7 KM-2017. Its description in RNAcentral is "tRNA-Gln". Lineage: Eukaryota; Metazoa; Arthropoda; Insecta; Coleoptera. The record is from RNAcentral.